RNAcentral lists this long non-coding RNA (241 nucleotides) under Olea europaea (common olive). Its description in RNAcentral is "long non-coding RNA (OEUR_LNC000927)". The record is from RNAcentral. Lineage: Eukaryota; Viridiplantae; Streptophyta; Magnoliopsida; Lamiales; Oleaceae.
CCCUAACACCACUUGUACCAUCAUAUUUCAUGCUCAUAAAUUUAUCCAUCAGAUCCCCAGUUUCGGCUUUAUCAGACUUAAUAAAUUUUUCUCCUAUGGCAUCCAUAAAACUUUUGGCAUUUUCAUUAUCAGGGAUGGCACCUAGAAUGGAAUCAGAUAUCGAUCGCUUAAUAAUUUUCAAACAGAGUUUGUUAGCCCUUUCCCACUUUUCAUGCUCGGUUACAUAUUCAACGGUACUCUU